Peromyscus leucopus (white-footed mouse) is the source of this 335-nucleotide long non-coding RNA. RefSeq lists it as uncharacterized. Lineage: Eukaryota; Metazoa; Chordata; Mammalia; Rodentia; Cricetidae. The transcript has 2 exons. The record is from RefSeq and is a predicted model, not a curated record.
AUCUCGAAAACAGAUUACAAAACAGAAGCCCUUUAUAGGGCAGAACUGUGUCUAGGAAGAGGAACAUCCUUUUGAUUUUGUCUUCAAAACGGGUUCCAGCAGGGGCAUGGACAAGCUGUGCGUGCCAGGCUGCAAUACACUGAAAGCUAUCCAAUUCAAGACUGAACCUGACCUUGGAAAACUGGAACAGCGCAAAGUCGAAGUCUAGAUAACGGGGAACUACUGCUUACUCUUCAUGCUCCUGUCCAGGAAGGAGGCUCUGGGAGGGACAAGCCUUCCCACUGCUGCUCCUGACACAUGGAAGCCACCACUCAGGUUUUCUUGGGUGAGGAGAG